GAUGAACGCUGGCGGCGUGCCUAAUACAUGCAAGUCGAGCGAACAGACGAGGAGCUUGCUCCUCUUACGUUAGCGGCGGACGGGUGAGUAACACGUGGAUAACCUACCUAUAAGACUGGGAUAACUUCGGGAAACCGGAGCUAAUACCGGAUAAUAUAUUUAACCGCAUGGUUCAAUAGUGAAAGACGGUUUUGCUGUCACUUAUAGAUGGAUCCGCGCCGCAUUAGCUAGUUGGUAAGGUAACGGCUUACCAAGGCAACGAUGCGUAGCCGACCUGAGAGGGUGAUCGGCCACACUGGAACUGAGACACGGUCCAGACUCCUACGGGAGGCAGCAGUAGGGAAUCUUCCGCAAUGGGCGAAAGCCUGACGGAGAAACGCCGCGUGAGUGAUGAAGGUCUUCGGAUCGUAAAACUCUGUUAUUAGGGAAGAACAAAUGUGUAAGUAACUAUGCACGUCUUGACGGUACCUAAUCAGAAAGCCACGGCUAACUACGUG
RNAcentral lists this ribosomal RNA (497 nucleotides) under uncultured bacterium. RNAcentral describes it as "partial 16S ribosomal RNA". It matches the Rfam family "Bacterial small subunit ribosomal RNA", at positions 28 to 507 of the family's 1533-position model. The record is from RNAcentral.